RNAcentral lists this microRNA (21 nucleotides) under Prunus persica (peach). RNAcentral's name for it is "microRNA miRNA_461". Lineage: Eukaryota; Viridiplantae; Streptophyta; Magnoliopsida; Rosales; Rosaceae. The record is from RNAcentral.
GACCAGGCUUCAUUCCCCUCA